Molecule: small RNA, 720 nt
Filed under: Pongo abelii (Sumatran orangutan)
Lineage: Eukaryota; Metazoa; Chordata; Mammalia; Primates; Hominidae
Description: processed transcript
Source: RNAcentral
GGCAUUGAAUGCCCCAGAGGAGCCCGAAACCUCCCAGGCCUGGUGCAGGAAGGAGAGCCCUUCAGCGAGGAAGCUACACUUUUCACCAAGGAACUGGUUCUGCAGCGAGAGCUCCUGUGUCUAUUGAUUGUCUGAUUCCCGCUUCAUCUGCUGUUUGAUUUUUGUGGGCCUAACUUCUCCCAUUUGCUCAUGUAUGUCUAUAUUCCUAUAUCUAAUGUUUCUUAAAAGACAAAUCUGACUGUGUAGGUGCAUUUGUUUAAAAAAUAUAACUCCCCAUUGCCUCUGGGAUAAAGUCUUAUCUCAGUUUACAUAUAUUCUUGAUAACCUCUCCAACUUUAUGUCUCACCACUCCCACUCACUUCGUAAUUCAUGCCUUAUCAGAAUGGACCUGUUAUACUGGCAGUUCGCCAUAUAUACCAUUACAUUUUGUUUCUCCCAUCUCUCAGGUAGACUUACACUUUCGGCCCAGCACAUCAGUCAUCCCCCUUGCUUGCUUUCCUGUUCACUCCUGUUCUGGAAGGUGCAUCACCUUUUCUUGGAAGCCUUCCCUUGCUCUCCCAGGCUAGAUGAGAUAUCCUUCCAUCAGUUCCCACAGCACCCUGUGCAUAUAUCUAUUGUGCACUUACCAAUAGUAUACAAGGGAUCUAUGACCCAAGUCUCUCCCCACUAGCUUGUAAGCUCCUCACAGACAGGAACCAUGUUUUGUCUUUGUACUCUAGU